This 472-nucleotide unclassified non-coding RNA is filed under the name uncultured Glomus. RNAcentral describes it as "SSU rRNA". It matches the Rfam family "Eukaryotic small subunit ribosomal RNA", at positions 569 to 1048 of the family's 1831-position model. The record is from RNAcentral. Lineage: Eukaryota; Fungi; Glomeromycota; Glomeromycetes; Glomerales; Glomeraceae.
AGCAGCCGCGGUAAUUCCAGCUCCAAUAGCGUAUAUUAAAGUUGUUGCAGUUAAAAGCUCGUAGUUGAAUUUCGGGAUCAAUAUGUUGGUCGUGCCUCGGUACGUACUAGCAUAUUGGUUUCUCCUUUCUGAAGAACCAUGAUGUCAUUUAUUUGGUGUCGUGGGGAAUCAGGACUGUUACUUUGAAAAAAUUAGAGUGUUUAAAGCAGGCUCACGCUUGAAUACAUUAGCAUGGAAUAAUGAAAUAGGACGUUUGAUUCUAUUUUGUUGGUUUCUAGGAUCGACGUAAUGAUUAAUAGGGAUAGUUGGGGGCAUUAGUAUUCAAUUGUCAGAGGUGAAAUUCUUGGAUUUAUUGAAGACUAACUACUGCGAAAGCAUUUGCCAAGGAUGUUUUCAUUAAUCAAGAACGAAAGUUAGGGGAUCGAAGACGAUCAGAUACCGUCGUAGUCUUAACCAUAAACUAUGCCGACUA